CGGCAGCUACACAUGCAGUCGAGCGGUAGCACAGAGAGCUUGCUCUCGGGUGACGAGCGGCGGACGGGUGAGUAAUGUCUGGGAAACUGCCUGAUGGAGGGGGAUAACUACUGGAAACGGUAGCUAAUACCGCAUAAUGUCGCAAGACCAAAGUGGGGGACCUUCGGGCCUCAUGCCAUCAGAUGUGCCCAGAUGGGAUUAGCUAGUAGGUGGGGUAACGGCUCACCUAGGCGACGAUCCCUAGCUGGUCUGAGAGGAUGACCAGCCACACUGGAACUGAGACACGGUCCAGACUCCUACGGGAGGCAGCAGUGGGGAAUAUUGCACAAUGGGCGCAAGCCUGAUGCAGCCAUGCCGCGUGUGUGAAGAAGGCCUUCGGGUUGUAAAGCACUUUCAGCGGGGAGGAAGGCGAUAAGGUUAAUAACCUCGUCGAUUGACGUUACCCGCAAAANAAGCACCGGCUAACUCCGUGCCAGCAGCCGCGGUAAUACGGAGGGUGCAAGCGUUAAUCGGAAUUACUGGGCGUAAAGCGCACGCAGGCGGUCUGUCAAGUCGGAUGUGAAAUCCCCGGGCUCAACCUGGGAACUGCAUUCGAAACUGGCAGGCUAGAGUCUUGUAGAGGGGGGUAGAAUUCCAGGUGUAGCGGUGAAAUGCGUAGAGAUCUGGAGGAAUACCGGUGGCGAAGGCGGCCCCCUGGACAAAGACUGACGCUCAGGUGCGAAAGCGUGGGGAGCAAACAGGAUUAGAUACCCUGGUAGUCCACGCCGUAAACGAUGUCGAUUUGGAGGUUGUGCCCUUGAGGCGUGGCUUCCGGAGCUAACGCGUUAAAUCGACCGCCUGGGGAGUACGGCCGCAAGGUUAAAACUCAAAUGAAUUGACGGGGGCCCGCACAAGCGGUGGAGCAUGUGGGUUUAAUUCGAUGCAACGCGAAGAACCUUACCUGGUCUUGACAUCCACAGAACUUUCCGGAGAAUGGAUUGGUGCCUUCGGGAACUGUGAAACAGGUGCUGCAUGGCUGUCGUCAGCCUCGUGUUGUGAAAUGUUUGGGUUAAGUCCCGCAACGAGCGCAACCCUUAUUCCUUUGUUGGCAGCGGGUUAGGCCGGGGAACUCCAAAGGAAAAUGGCCGUGGAUAAACUGGGAGGAAAGGGGGGGGGAGUAAAAGUCCCAAGUCAUUCAUGGGGCCCUUUACAAACCAGGGGGUAACCCCCCGGGGUUACAAUGGGGGAAAAA
This 1231-nucleotide ribosomal RNA is filed under the name Klebsiella sp. RNAcentral describes it as "bacterial SSU rRNA". It matches the Rfam family "Bacterial small subunit ribosomal RNA", at positions 40 to 1241 of the family's 1533-position model. The record is from RNAcentral. Lineage: Bacteria; Pseudomonadati; Pseudomonadota; Gammaproteobacteria; Enterobacterales; Enterobacteriaceae.